AGUGAACGCUGGCGGUAGGCCUAACACAUGCAAGUCGAACGGCAGCACAGUAAGAGCUUGCUCUUACGGGUGGCGAGUGGCGGACGAGUGAGGAAUACAUCGGAAUCUACUUUUUCGUGGGGGAUAACGUAGGGAAACUUACGCUAAUACCGCAUACGACCUACGGGUGAAAGCAGGGGAUCUUCGGACCUUGCGCGAUUGAAUGAGCCGAUGUCGGAUUAGCUAGUUGGCGGGGUAAAGGCCCACCAAGGCGACGAUCCGUAGCUGGUCUGAGAGGAUGAUCAGCCAAACUGGAACUGAGACACGGUCCAGACUCCUACGGGAGGCAGCAGUGGGGAAUAUUGGAAAAUGGGCGAAAGCCUGAUCCAGCCAUACCGCGUGGGUGAAGAAGGCCUUCGGGUUGUAAAGCCCUUUUGUUGGGAAAGAAAAGCAGCAGGUUAAUACCCCGCUGUUCUGACGGUACCCAAAGAAUAAGCACCGGCUAACUUCGU
Molecule: ribosomal RNA, 491 nt
Filed under: uncultured bacterium
Lineage: Bacteria
Description: partial 16S ribosomal RNA
Rfam family: Bacterial small subunit ribosomal RNA
Source: RNAcentral